Molecule: long non-coding RNA, 199 nt
Filed under: Manihot esculenta (cassava)
Lineage: Eukaryota; Viridiplantae; Streptophyta; Magnoliopsida; Malpighiales; Euphorbiaceae
Description: long non-coding RNA (MESC_LNC011728)
Source: RNAcentral
UGAAUAUUUUUCUAGAUCCUGGGCUGGGCCGAGAGUUGGGCCGGACGCUAAGCCUGAGUGGAGAGGAUGGGUCGAGUCCGGCCUUGAGGGUUGGAUGAGCCAGGCUUGUUAUGUGUAUCAGGUGUGUGGGCCUCUACGUCAUGGGCCUUGGGCUGUGGUCAAGCCCCUGGCCCGGGGUGAAGGAAUCCAGCGGUCAUCA